UUACGAUUUAGUGUAUCUUGCACAUAGACCUUUGGCAUCUAAAGCGGCCCACCCAUUCGAAA
This 62-nucleotide transfer RNA is filed under the name Questa ersei. Its description in RNAcentral is "tRNA-Gln". Lineage: Eukaryota; Metazoa; Annelida; Polychaeta; Questidae. The record is from RNAcentral.